AGAGUUUGAUCCUGGCUCAGGAUGAACGCUAGCGGCAGGCUUAACACAUGCAAGUCGAGGGGCAUCAGGGGGUAGCAAUACCCCGCUGGCGACCGGCGGAUGGGUGCGUAACGCGUAUGCAACCUGCCCGUAACCGGAGGAUAACCCGCCGAAAGGCGGACUAAAAAUCCAUAAGACCCCGCUGCGGCAUCGCAGCGGGGUAAAAUCUGCGGAGGUUGCGGAUGGGCAUGCGUGCCAUUAGGUAGUUGGUGAGGCAACGGCUCACCAAGCCUACGAUGGCUAGGGGGUCUGAGAGGAUGGUCCCCCACACUGGAACUGAGACACGGUCCAGACUCCUACGGGAGGCAGCAGUGAGGAAUAUUGGUCAAUGGGCGGAAGCCUGAACCAGCCAUGCCGCGUGCAGGAAGACGGCCCUAUGGGUUGUAAACUGCUUUUGCAGAGGAGUAAAGUGACGUACGUGUACGUUAUUGCAAGUACUUUGCGAAUAAGCAUCGGCUAACUCCGUGCCAGCAGCCGCGGUAAUACGGAGGAUGCGAGCGUUAUCCGGAUUUAUUGGGUUUAAAGGGUGCGUAGGCGGGCUGAUAAGUCAGCGGUGAAAUGUACCGGCUUAACCGGUGAACUGCCAUUGAUACUGUCGGUCUUGAGUGCAGAUGAGGUAGGCGGAAUGUGUGGUGUAGCGGUGAAAUGCAUAGAUAUCACACAGAACACCGAUUGCGAAGGCAGCUUACUAAGGUGCCACUGACGCUGAGGCACGAAAGUGUGGGGAUCAAACAGGAUUAGAUACCCUGGUAGUCCACACUGUAAACGAUGAUAACUGGAUGUUUGCGAUACACUGCAAGCGUCUGAGCGAAAGCAUUAAGUUAUCCACCUGGGGAGUACGUCGGCAACGAUGAAACUCAAAGGAAUUGACGGGGGCCCGCACAAGCGGAGGAACAUGUGGUUUAAUUCGAUGAUACGCGAGGAACCUUACCCGGGCUCGAACGGCGGAGGAAUGGCGUGGAAACGCGUCAGCCGGCAACGGUCUCCGUCGAGGUGCUGCAUGGUUGUCGUCAGCUCGUGCCGUGAGGUGUCGGCUUAAGUGCCAUAACGAGCGCAACCCUUACCUUCAGUUGCCAGCGGGUGAAGCCGGGGACUCUGGAGGGACUGCCAGCGUAAGCUGAGAGGAAGGUGGGGAUGACGUCAAAUCAGCACGGCCCUUACGUCCGGGGCGACACACGUGUUACAAUGGGGGAUACAGAGGGUAGCUACCCGGCGACGGGAUGCCAAUCUCGAAAGUCCUUCUCAGUUCGGAUCGGAGUCUGCAACUCGACUCCGUGAAGUUGGAUUCGCUAGUAAUCGCGCAUCAGCCAUGGCGCGGUGAAUACGUUCCCGGGCCUUGUACACACCGCCCGUCAAGCCAUGGAAGCCGGGGGUACCUGAAGUGCAUAACCGCGAGGAGCGCCCUAAGGUAAUACUGGUGACUGGGGCUAAGUCGUAACAAGGUAGCC
This 1487-nucleotide ribosomal RNA is filed under the name uncultured rumen bacterium. Its description in RNAcentral is "bacterial SSU rRNA". It matches the Rfam family "Bacterial small subunit ribosomal RNA". The record is from RNAcentral.